AAGUCCUAGGUUCGCAUGGUUGCUUAC
This 27-nucleotide small RNA is filed under the name Bombyx mori (domestic silkworm). Its description in RNAcentral is "ovarian small RNA-10689". The record is from RNAcentral. Lineage: Eukaryota; Metazoa; Arthropoda; Insecta; Lepidoptera; Bombycidae.